GUAGGGUGCAAGCGUUAAUCGGAAUUACUGGGCGUAAAGCGUGCGCAGGCGGUUUUGUAAGACAGAGGUGAAAUCCCCGGGCUCAACCUGGGAACUGCCUUUGUGACUGCAAGGCUGGAGUGCGGCAGAGGGGGAUGGAAUUCCGCGUGUAGCAGUGAAAUGCGUAGAUAUGCGGAGGAACACCGAUGGCGAAGGCAAUCCCCUGGGCCUGCACUGACGCUCAUGCACGAAAGCGUGGGGGGAGCAAACAGGAUUAGAUACCCUGGUAGUCCACGCCCCUAAACGAUGUCAACUGGUUGUUGGGUCUUCACUGACUCAGUAACGAAGCUAACGCGUGAAGUUGACCGCCCUGGGGAGUACGGCCGCAAGGUUG
RNAcentral lists this ribosomal RNA (373 nucleotides) under uncultured organism. RNAcentral describes it as "partial 16S ribosomal RNA". It matches the Rfam family "Bacterial small subunit ribosomal RNA", at positions 527 to 896 of the family's 1533-position model. The record is from RNAcentral.